Molecule: ribosomal RNA, 255 nt
Filed under: uncultured bacterium
Lineage: Bacteria
Description: partial 16S ribosomal RNA
Rfam family: Bacterial small subunit ribosomal RNA
Source: RNAcentral
UACGAAGGGGGGCGAGCGUUGUUCGGAAUUACUGGGCGUAAAGCGCACGUAGGCGGCUUUGUAAGUUAGAGGUGAAAGCCCGGGGCUCAACCCCCGGAAUUGCCUUUAAGACUGCAUCGCUAGAAUUGUGGAGAGGUAAGUGGAAUUCCGAGUGUAGAGGUGAAAUUCGUAGAUAUUCGGAAGAACACCAGUGGCGAAGGCGACUUACUGGACACAUAUUGACGCUGAGGUGCGAAAGCGUGGGGAGCAAACAGG